Molecule: non-coding RNA, 30 nt
Filed under: Rattus norvegicus (Norway rat)
Lineage: Eukaryota; Metazoa; Chordata; Mammalia; Rodentia; Muridae
Source: RNAcentral
UGCUUUUAGCCUAGUAGAGAUGUGAACCCA